ACCUUGCCCUGGCUGUCUGCACAGGGCUGAAUUUCACCCCUUCCGAGUGUAUUCUAAGGGCCCCCCAUGCAUCAUAUGGGCAUUCUUGGGGUUGCAGAUGGCAUCAGACCUACACCUGAAUAAAUAAUAGAGACUGAAAUAUGCAGACACUAAAGUUCUGCAGCCAAAUUCUCAGGAACCUUUCUCUUCCAUGUAGGAUCAGGAUUUUGUUUUGAAUUGUUUUAUUUUUUAAAAAAGUGCUAAGCAGAUGCUACCCUGUAAGAAGAGGAAACAGAAGCAAAAACUGAAAGACUGUUACUAAAACUAAUGAAGAGCUGCAGAGAGUGGAGACCCAGCAAAGCAGACAAAUGAAUACUGUGAGUAAAUAACCUGAAAGCAAAUGGGGAAGAAAACCUCCUCUGGGUAAUUGUGGCUCUUGGGACCAAAAUCAGGUUCCUGGGAAAGGAUCCCCAAAGGAGGUGUAAGGAUCCGGGACUCUAGUGUCUGCCAGAAGCUUCAGCCACCUUCACAGGUUAGAGCUCGCCCUCCAUUGCGGAGGUGAAGACCGGAUGGGAGCUGCUGGAU
Long non-coding RNA from Mauremys reevesii (Reeves's turtle), 564 nucleotides. RefSeq lists it as uncharacterized. The record is from RefSeq and is a predicted model, not a curated record. Lineage: Eukaryota; Metazoa; Chordata; Testudines; Geoemydidae. The transcript is spliced from 4 exons.